Molecule: ribosomal RNA, 1004 nt
Filed under: human gut metagenome
Description: bacterial LSU rRNA
Rfam family: Bacterial large subunit ribosomal RNA
Source: RNAcentral
AACGGCGGCCGUAACUAUAACGGUCCUAAGGUAGCGAAAUUCCUUGUCAGGUAAGUUCUGACCCGCAUGAAAGGCGUAAUGAUUUGGGCACUGUCUCAACAGCCCGCCCGGCGAAAUUGUAGUACCGGUGAAGAUGCCGGUUACCCGCGACAAGACGGAAAGACCCCAUGGAGCUUUACUGUAGCCUAAUAUUGGGUUUCGAUGUUGCAUGCACAGGAUAGAUGGGACACUGGGAAACAAUCGCUUUGGCGGUUGCGGAGUGGCCGUUGGGAUACCAUCCUUGCGAUAUUGGAAUUCUAACCUGCGGCUCUGAAUCGAGUCGGGGGACAUUGUUAGGUGGGCAGUUUGACUGGGGCGGUCGCCUCCUAAAAAGUAACGGAGGCGUUCAAAGGUUCGCUCAGCUUGAACGGAAAUCAAGCAAAAGAGUGCAAACGCAGAAGCGAGCCUAACUGCGAGACUGACGGGUCGAGCAGUAACGAAAGUUGGAGUUAGUGAUCCGGUGGUAUGUGAGUGGAAAUGCCAUCGCUCAACGGAUAAAAGUUACCCUGGGGAUAACAGGCUGAUCUCCCCCAAGAGUCCACAUCGACGGGGAGGUUUGGCACCUCGAUGUCGGCUCAUCGCAUCCUGGGGCUGUAUUCGGUCCCAAGGGUUUGGCUGUUCGCCAAUUAAAGCGGUACGCGAGCUGGGUUCAGAACGUCGUGAGACAGUUCGGUCCCUAUCUGUCGUGGGCGCAGGAUAUUUGAUGGGAGCUGUCCCUAGUACGAGAGGACCGGGACGGACGUACCUCUGGCGCACCAGUUGUUCCGCCAGGAGCAUAGCUGGGCAACUACGUACGGAUCGGAUAAACGCUGAAAGCAUCUAAGCGUGAAGCCGACCCAAAGAUAAGAUAUCCCACUGAUUUGAUCAGGUAAGACCCCUUGAAGACUACAAGGUCGAUAGGCACGAUGUGUAAGUGGAGCGAUCCAUUCAGCAAGCGUGUACUAAUAGGUCGAGGGCUUGACCAC